RNAcentral lists this ribosomal RNA (252 nucleotides) under uncultured prokaryote. Its description in RNAcentral is "partial 16S ribosomal RNA". It matches the Rfam family "Bacterial small subunit ribosomal RNA", at positions 524 to 776 of the family's 1533-position model. The record is from RNAcentral.
UACGUAGGUGGCAAGCGUUGUCCGGAAUUAUUGGGCGUAAAGCGCGCGCAGGCGGGAACUUAAGUCUAUCUUAAAAGUUCGGGGCUCAACCCCGUGAUGGGGUAGAAACUGGGUUUCUUGAGUAUCGGAGAGGAAAGUGGAAUUCCCAGUGUAGCGGUGAAAUGCGUAGAUAUUGGGAGGAACACCAGUGGCGAAGGCGACUUUCUGGACGAUGUCUGACGCUGAGGCGCGAAAGCCAGGGAAGUGAACGGG